This 497-nucleotide ribosomal RNA is filed under the name uncultured bacterium. RNAcentral describes it as "partial 16S ribosomal RNA". It matches the Rfam family "Bacterial small subunit ribosomal RNA", at positions 28 to 523 of the family's 1533-position model. The record is from RNAcentral.
GAUGAACGCUGGCGGCGUGCUUAACACAUGCAAGUCGAACGAAGCACUUUACUUGAUCUUUUCGGAGUGAUUGUUUUAUGACUGAGUGGCGGACGGGUGAGUAACACGUGGGUAACCUGCCUCACACAGGGGGAUAACAGUUGGAAACGGCUGCUAAUACCGCAUAAGCGCACAGUACCGCAUGGUACGGUGUGAAAAACUCCGGUGGUGUGAGAUGGACCCGCGUCUGAUUAGCUAGUUGGCAGGGCAGCGGCCUACCAAGGCGACGAUCAGUAGCCGACCUGAGAGGGUGAACGGCCACAUUGGGACUGAGACACGGCCCAAACUCCUACGGGAGGCAGCAGUGGGGAAUAUUGCACAAUGGGGGAAACCCUGAUGCAGCGACGCCGCGUGAGCGAAGAAGUAUUUCGGUAUGUAAAGCUCUAUCAGCAGGGAAGAAGAAAUGACGGUACCUGACUAAGAAGCACCGGCUAAAUACGUGCCAGCCGCCGCAGUAA